CAGCAGCCGCGGUGAUACGUAGGGUCCGAGCGUUGUCCGGAAUUAUUGGGCGUAAAGGGCUUGUAGGCGGUUUGUCACGUCGGAAGUGAAAACUCAGGGCUUAACCCUGAGCCUGCUUCCGAUACGGGCAAACUAGAGGAAUGCAGGGGAGAAUGGAAUUCCUGGUGGAGCGGUGGAAUGCGCAGAUAUCAGGAGGAACACCGGUGGCGAAGGCGGUUCUCUGGGCAUUUCCUGACGCUGAGAAGCGAAAGCGUGGGGAGCAAACAGGCUUAGAUACCCUGGUAGUCCACGCCGUAAACGGUGGGCACUAGGUGUGGGGAACAUUCCACGUUCUCCGUGCCGAAGCUAACGCNUUNNGUGCCCCGCCUGGGGAGUACGGCCGCAAGGCUAAAACUCAAAGGAAUUGACGG
Molecule: ribosomal RNA, 410 nt
Filed under: uncultured soil bacterium
Lineage: Bacteria
Description: bacterial SSU rRNA
Rfam family: Bacterial small subunit ribosomal RNA
Source: RNAcentral